Molecule: ribosomal RNA, 207 nt
Filed under: uncultured bacterium
Lineage: Bacteria
Description: partial 16S ribosomal RNA
Rfam family: Bacterial small subunit ribosomal RNA
Source: RNAcentral
CGCGUAGGUGGAUUAGCAAGUCAGAGGUGAAAACCACAGGCUUAACUUGUGGCCUGCCUUUGAAACUGCUUUUCUUGAGUGCGGAAGAGGAAAGUGGAAUUCCUGGUGUAGCGGUGAAAUGCGUAGAUAUCAGGAAGAACACCGGUAGCGAAGGCGGCUUUCUGGUCCGCAACUGACACUGAGGCGCGAAAGCGUGGGGAGCAAACA